Molecule: unclassified non-coding RNA, 188 nt
Filed under: uncultured fungus
Lineage: Eukaryota; Fungi
Description: sequence contains ITS1, 5.8S rRNA gene
Source: RNAcentral
ACGAGUUAGGGUCUUCUAGGCCUGACCUCCCAACCCUUUGUUUAACGAACCACUGUUGCUUCGGCGGGCCCGUCUCACGACCGCCGGGGGAUCGUCGAAAGAUUUCCCCUGGCCCGUGCCCGCCGGAAGCCCAUCUCUAAAAUCUGAAAUCAUGUCAUUAUGUCUAAGUAAAUCAUUAAAUUAAAGCA